GGGGAUGUAGUUCAAUGACAGAAUACUUGCCUAGCAUGCAUGCGUCCCUAGGUUUGAUCCCUUACACUACCA
Molecule: transfer RNA, 72 nt
Filed under: Heterocephalus glaber (naked mole-rat)
Lineage: Eukaryota; Metazoa; Chordata; Mammalia; Rodentia; Bathyergidae
Rfam family: tRNA
About the family: Transfer RNA (tRNA) molecules are approximately 80 nucleotides in length. Their secondary structure includes four short double-helical elements and three loops (D, anti-codon, and T loops).
Source: Rfam by way of RNAcentral